UUUAAUUUCUAUCUUCGAAUU
This 21-nucleotide non-coding RNA is filed under the name Caenorhabditis elegans. Lineage: Eukaryota; Metazoa; Nematoda; Chromadorea; Rhabditida; Rhabditidae. The record is from RNAcentral.